Molecule: long non-coding RNA, 390 nt
Organism: Drosophila willistoni
Lineage: Eukaryota; Metazoa; Arthropoda; Insecta; Diptera; Drosophilidae
Exons: 2
Source: RefSeq, a predicted model, not a curated record
GACGUUGACGUCGACGUUGACGCUACUUGAAAAACUGAUCGAAAUUAUAGCCGGCAAAUGCAUUAGAUAUAUUAAGAGUAGUAGUGGGAGUGGGAGAUAAAGAGAGCGACAGCAAAAUCAAUGAUUGACACGAGCAACUCCUGUCGUUGCAGUCUCAACUUCGUUGUCGUGGUCGUCAUCUCCGACGUCUUCGUCGUAGCUGUCGUCGUCGUCGUCGUCGUCGUUGCCGUUGUGAAGCGCCGGUUGUUUGUCAGCAUAAAAACUUGAUCGUUCCGUUGUCUGAGGCAAUGGAAUUUGAUGGGAAUGAAGUGCUUGUAUUUAUGGGAGGAGCCGUUUAAUUGCUGAUUAUGCAAAAAGUACCAAAAAAAACAAAAAAAAAAAACUGUUUGC